UGCUAUCUGCAGUCGAGCGAAUCAUAGGAGCUUGCUCCUGUUGAUUAGCGGCGGACGGGUGAGUAACACGUGGGCAACCUGCCUGUAAGACUGGGAUAACACCGGGAAACCGGUGCUAAUACCGGAUAAUCCUUUUCCUCUCAUGAGGAAAAGCUGAAAGUCGGUUUCGGCUGACACUUACAGAUGGGCCCGCGGCGCAUUAGCUAGUUGGUGAGGUAACGGCUCACCAAGGCGACGAUGCGUAGCCGACCUGAGGGUGAUCGGCCACACUGGGACUGAGACACGGCCCAGACUCCUACGGGAGGCAGCAGUAGGGAAUCUUCCACAAUGGACGAAAGUCUGAUGGAGCAACGCCGCGUGAGCGAUGAAGGCCUUCGGGUCGUAAAGCUCUGUUGUUAGGGAAGAACAAGUACCGGAGUAACUGCCGGUACCUUGACGGUACCUAACCAGAAAGCCACGGCUAACUACGUGCCAGCAGCCGCGGUAAUACGUAGGUGGCAAGCGUUGUCCGGAAUUAUUGGGCGUAAAGCGCGCGCAGGCGGUCCUUUAAGUCUGAUGUGAAAGCCCACGGCUCAACCGUGGAGGGUCAUUGGAAACUGGGGGACUUGAGUGCAGAAAAGGAAAGCGGAAUUCCACGUGUAGCGGUGAAAUGCGUAGAGAUGUGGAGGAACACCAGUGGCGAANGCGGCUUUCUGGUCUGUAACUGACGCUGAGGCGCGAAAGCGUGGGGAGCAAACAGGAUUAGAUACCCUGGUAGUCCACGCCGUAAACGAUGAGUGCUAAGUGUUAAAGGGUUUCCCCCUUUAGUGCUGCAGCUAACGCAUUAAGCCCUCCCCCUGGGGAGUACGGC
This 850-nucleotide ribosomal RNA is filed under the name uncultured bacterium. RNAcentral describes it as "bacterial SSU rRNA". It matches the Rfam family "Bacterial small subunit ribosomal RNA", at positions 49 to 886 of the family's 1533-position model. The record is from RNAcentral.